GUGGGGAAUAUUGGACAAUGGGCGCAAGCCUGAUCCAGCCAUGCCGCGUGAGUGAUGAAGGCCUUAGGGUUGUAAAGCUCUUUCACCGAUGAAGAUAAUGACGGUAGUCGGAGAAGAAGCCCCGGCUAACUUCGUGCCAGCAGCCGCGGUAAUACGAAGGGGGCUAGCGUUGUUCGGAUUUACUGGGCGUAAAGCGCACGUAGGCGGAUCGUUAAGUCGGGGGUGAAAUCCUGGAGCUCAACUCCAGAACUGCCUUCGAUACUGGCGAUCUUGAGGCCGGAAGAGGUGAGUGGAACUCCUAGUGUAGAGGUGGAAUUCGUAGAUAUUAGGAAGAACACCAGUGGCGAAGGCGGCUCACUGGUCCGGUACUGACGCUGAGGUGCGAAAGCGUGGGGAGCAAACAGGAUUAGAUACCCGUGUAGUCC
Molecule: ribosomal RNA, 425 nt
Filed under: uncultured bacterium
Lineage: Bacteria
Description: partial 16S ribosomal RNA
Rfam family: Bacterial small subunit ribosomal RNA
Source: RNAcentral